This 1443-nucleotide ribosomal RNA is filed under the name uncultured bacterium. Its description in RNAcentral is "partial 16S ribosomal RNA". It matches the Rfam family "Bacterial small subunit ribosomal RNA". The record is from RNAcentral.
UGAUCAUGGCUCAGAACGUACGCUGGCGGCACGCCUAACACAUGCAAGUCGAACGCAGUAGCAAUACUGAGUGGCAAACGGGUGAGUAUAAUGUGGGAAUCUGCCUUUUGGUUCGGAAUAACACGAGGAAACUUGUGCUAAUACCGGAUAAGCCCUUACGGGGAAAGUUUUAAUGCCAAAAGAUGAGCCCGCACUUGAUUAGCUAGUUGGUAAGGUAAUGGCUUACCAAGGCAACGAUCAAUAGCUGUUCUUAGAGGAAGACCAGCCACAUUGGGACUGAGACACGGCCCAAACUCCUACGGGAGGCAGCAGUGGGGAAUCUUGCACAAUGGGGGAAACCCUGAUGCAGCGAUGCCGCGUGAGUGAAGAAGGCCCUUGGGUUGUAAAACUCUUUCGUCGGGGAAGAAAAUGACUGUACCCGAAUAAGAAGGUCCGGCUAACUUCGUGCCAGCAGCCGCGGUAAUACGAAGGGACCUAGCGUAGUUCGGAAUUACUGGGCUUAAAGAGUUCGUAGGUGGUUAAAAAAGUUGAUGGUGAAAUCCCAAGGCUCAACCUUGGAACUGCCAUCAAAACUUUUUAGCUAGAGUGUGAUAGAGGAAAGUGGAAUUUCUAGUGUAGAGGUGAAAUUCGUAGAUAUUAGAAAGAACAUCAAAAGCGAAGGCAACUUUCUGGAUCAUUACUGACACUGAGGAACGAAAGCAUGGGUAGCGAAGAGGAUUAGAUACCCUCGUAGUCCAUGCCGUAAACGAUGUGUGCUAGACGUUGGAAACUUAGUUUUCAGUGUCGCAGCGAAAGCAUUAAGCACACCGCCUGGGGAGUACGACCGCAAGGUUAAAACUCAAAUGAAUUGACGGGGACCCGCACAAGUAGUGGAGCAUGUGGUUUAAUUCGAAGAUACGCGCAGAACCUUACCAACACUUGACAUGUUCGUCGCGACUCUGAGAGAUCAGAGUUUUCGGUUCGGCCGGACGAAACACAGGUGCUGCAUGGCUGUCGUCAGCUCGUGUCGUGAGAUGUUGGGUUAAGUCCCGCAACGAGCGCAACCCUUGUCAUUAGUUGCUACAUUUAGUUGGGCACUCUAAUGAGACUGCCGGUGACAAACCGGAGGAAGGUGGGGAUGACGUCAAGUCCUCAUGGCCCUUAUGGGUAGGGCUACACACGUAAUACAAUGGCUGGUACAAAGGGUUGCCAACCCGCGAGGGGGAGCUAAUCCCAUAAAGCCAGUCGUAGUCCGGAUCGUAGUCUGCAACUCGACUGCGUGAAGUCGGAAUCGCUAGUAAUCGUGGAUCAGAAUGUCACGGUGAAUACGUUCCCGGGUCUUGUACACACCGCCCGUCACACCAUGGGAGCGGGUCUCGCCAGAAGUAGUUAGCCUAACCGCAAGGGGGGCGAUUACCACGGCGGGGUUCGUGACUGGGGUGAAGUCGUAACAAGGUAACCGUA